This is a non-coding RNA of Podarcis lilfordi (Lilford's wall lizard), 72 nucleotides long. The record is from the annotation of a GenBank genome assembly. Lineage: Eukaryota; Metazoa; Chordata; Lepidosauria; Squamata; Lacertidae.
GCCUUAUGCUCAGCUGGUGAGAGUGUGUUUCUGAUAACGCCAAGGUUGCAGGUUUGAUCCCCGUAUGGGACA